UAAUAAGGAGAGUCAACUCUUGGAUUAACAAGAGUGAUCAAAAUGAAUAAGAAAAUCCAAGUAUUUUGGGGUAUCCAUGAGUUCAAAUUUGAUGCAGACAUGAUAAUUAAAGAUCAGAUUCAGGUUCAAAUUGAUAGGGAAUAGUAUCAGAUCAUGAU
Molecule: small RNA, 158 nt
Filed under: Arabidopsis thaliana (thale cress)
Lineage: Eukaryota; Viridiplantae; Streptophyta; Magnoliopsida; Brassicales; Brassicaceae
Description: ATSL167450
Source: RNAcentral